ACACAUGCAGUCGAGCGGUAGAGAAGUGCUUGCACUUCUUGAGAGCGGCGGACGGGUGAGUAAUACCUAGGAAUCUGCCUAGUGGUGGGGGAUAACGUUCGGAAACGGACGCUAAUACCGCAUACGUCCUACGGGAGAAAGCGGGGGACCUUCGGGCCUCGCGCCAUUAGAUGAGCCUAGGUCGGAUUAGCUAGUUGGUGAGGUAAUGGCUCACCAAGGCAACGAUCCGUAACUGGUCUGAGAGGAUGAUCAGUCACACUGGAACUGAGACACGGUCCAGACUCCUACGGGAGGCAGCAGUGGGGAAUAUUGGACAAUGGGCGAAAGCCUGAUCCAGCCAUGCCGCGUGUGUGAAGAAGGUCUUCGGAUUGUAAAGCACUUUAAGUUGGGAGGAAGGGCAGUAACUUAAUACGUUGCUGUUUUGACGUUACCGACAGAAUAAGCACCGGCUAACUCUGUGCCAGCAGCCGCGGUAAUACAGAGGGUGCAAGCGUUAAUCGGAAUUACUGGGCGUAAAGCGCGCGUAGGUGGUUUGUUAAGUUGGGUGUGAAAGCCCCGGGCUCAACCUGGGAACUGCAUCCNAAACUGGCCAACUAGAGUACAGUAGAGGGUGGUGGAAUUUCCUGUGUAGCGGUGAAAUGCGUAGAUAUAGGAAGGAACACCAGUGGCGAAGGCGACCACCUGGACUGAUACUGACACUGAGGUGCGAAAGCGUGGGGAGCAAACAGGA
This 730-nucleotide ribosomal RNA is filed under the name unidentified microorganism. RNAcentral's name for it is "bacterial SSU rRNA". It matches the Rfam family "Bacterial small subunit ribosomal RNA", at positions 51 to 777 of the family's 1533-position model. The record is from RNAcentral.